AUGUAAUGGAUAUUUGUUGCCUUGAUAUUGAUUACUUUAUAUGCAAAAUGUCUUGCCUUUCGUGGAUGUGGUAUAAAAGUGAACGAGAAUGCCAGAUAACUAGAAACGGCAUUGUAUGCUCAACUGAGUCUUAAAGCGCUAAAGAAGGGUAAAGAAUACAGAGGUAUCUCGGUAGAAGUACAUAGUGAAGAAAGAAAAGAGAAAAUGGGAUAAAAAAGACUCAAUGUGUAGGAAAGGCAGGGCCACGGAGAUGGGUGCAUGCAAAAAGAAAUCAAAGUGGAAGAUGAAUAAUUUCCCUCCAAAACGAACCGCUGGUAUCCCACCCAGCCUGCUAUGUGGUUUGAAGUACCAUUUCUGUUCCCCAAGGAAACCCAUCGCUGCCGCCAGAAUGAAAAGGGAAACGGAAAAGAAGAUAAGAGAAAAGCAACCAAGGAAAGAAUUACCUCUAAUGCUGUGGA
RNAcentral lists this small RNA (458 nucleotides) under Histoplasma capsulatum var. duboisii H88. RNAcentral describes it as "Histoplasma capsulatum H88 hypothetical RNA". Lineage: Eukaryota; Fungi; Ascomycota; Eurotiomycetes; Onygenales; Ajellomycetaceae. The record is from RNAcentral.